RNAcentral lists this ribosomal RNA (95 nucleotides) under uncultured ectomycorrhiza (Lactarius pseudomucidus). RNAcentral's name for it is "partial 28S ribosomal RNA". It matches the Rfam family "Eukaryotic large subunit ribosomal RNA", at positions 1 to 94 of the family's 3401-position model. Lineage: Eukaryota; Fungi; Basidiomycota; Agaricomycetes; Russulales; Russulaceae. The record is from RNAcentral.
UUGACCUCNAAUCGGGUGAGACUACCCGCUGAACUUAAGCACAUCAAUAAGCGGAGGAAAAGAAACUAACAAGGAUUCCCCUAGUAACUGCGAGU